UAGGUGAACCUGCGGAAGGAUAUUAA
This 26-nucleotide ribosomal RNA is filed under the name Clavulina cinerea. RNAcentral's name for it is "partial 18S ribosomal RNA". The record is from RNAcentral. Lineage: Eukaryota; Fungi; Basidiomycota; Agaricomycetes; Cantharellales; Hydnaceae.